Fukomys damarensis (Damara mole-rat) is the source of this 841-nucleotide long non-coding RNA. RefSeq lists it as uncharacterized. The transcript has 5 exons. The record is from RefSeq and is a predicted model, not a curated record. Lineage: Eukaryota; Metazoa; Chordata; Mammalia; Rodentia; Bathyergidae.
UGUAGUUUAAAGGUCACAGGCGGCGCCCUCGGUGGUGGAGGUGCGGAGCCGUGAUGUAGGCGGGCUGGUUCUGGUGCCCCAGACAAAGCUGUGUAGAGGCAAGUGCGGCUCGUGAGAAGACGCUGGAAAAUGACCUAGAGUUAACAGCAGGUGGCAGUGUUAGCAAAGGUUGUGCUUCUGGGACCUAAUCAGCCUGGAGAGGAGCCUCUUUCCAAUCUGAUGAUGAACCUACUGAGGAAAGAAGAGGAUGUUGGUAUAUAAAAAUGCCAAAAGAAAUAUGGAAAUUGAAAUCAUGUAGUUGGCAUUGGGAAUUGAAAACAAAAUAUAGACAAACUGCUGCAUUUUACAUCUGUGGGAACUAAAUCGAAGAAAGAUUAAGUGGGCUGUCUGAGAUGUCCACUAGUGAGUAUUUGAGGAUCAUCAGACUCCUAUUCCAAAGCACUAUCCUGGGAGAACAGAAGUUUGGUCAUUCAGGCAGUAGUAUCCAAAUACUCAGGUGGCAAAGUAGAAGCUUGAAGACAACUGUAGAAGAACCAGCAGUGGGAUUGGAGCUCAUAUUCUCUGCCUGGUUGACCUAAUGAUCUGGAGUUUAAAAAAAGUGACUUGGAAUAUCUUUAGCUGGCCGCACUUCAAAAGCACCAGCUCUCAGAAGCAGUAACUCCAGGAGUGGCACCAUAAACAGCCUUUGGCUCGUCAUUGACCUGGAGGCCCUGGCUCUGCACACCAGCCUGUCUCCACAAACAUGCCUGUGAUUGACCCACAAAAUGCACUCGCUCCAUGAGGGCCAAUAUCCAUCCCAUUGAAUGAGUUAAAUGGGCCAGGGGUAGCAAUGUGUGGCCAG